This 209-nucleotide long non-coding RNA is filed under the name Prunus dulcis (almond). Its description in RNAcentral is "sRNA ncRNA". Lineage: Eukaryota; Viridiplantae; Streptophyta; Magnoliopsida; Rosales; Rosaceae. The record is from RNAcentral.
UGUCAAAUGAGCGCAGUACCUCUCAUAGAGAAAAACGGCUCUUCCAAGCUAGUUAGGGUUUCUUCUGUUUGGCUUUCUUCUUGAGAAAAAAAAAAAUGGAGGAAAAUCAAAGCAUCCUUCUCUUCUUAAAUCAGAAGAGAGUCAAAUACAAAGACUACUUUUCCGUGGAGAUCAUGGAUCAGGUCAAUUUACAUCGAAUCAAUGAUUUA